RNAcentral lists this long non-coding RNA (648 nucleotides) under Ananas comosus (pineapple). RNAcentral's name for it is "long non-coding RNA (ACOM_LNC023926)". Lineage: Eukaryota; Viridiplantae; Streptophyta; Magnoliopsida; Poales; Bromeliaceae. The record is from RNAcentral.
AUUUCACAAGAAAACUGUUAAAAAAUAAACAGUUCACUAACGAAUUUUAACCAGAGGAACAUAUCUGCAUAACUUAGGACUUUUAUAGGGACAACUUAUGGAAUUUUCGUUUUGCAAGGAUAUAUCUGCAAUUCACUAUGUUUGCAGGGACGUGUAUGCAAAUAACCCUAUGUAUUAACUAUCCCUCCAUUACUUGAUUGACAACGAAUUAGAGGAGUAGACAAAAAAAGAUCAACUCCAGAGAAAAGGGAUUAGGCUGGCUGGCAUGCGAAAUUGGGCUAGACGGAUCCAAAAAUAUAAAAAAUCUAAAAUAAUAAUGCUAAAGUUUGGAUAUCACAUCCAUAUCCAUUUUUUCGCCUAUCCGAAAAAAUUUAACUCUAUAAAACCAUAUUUGUAUCCGUAUCGGAUGGGAUCCCGAUAUUUUCUAUCCGAAUCCGGAUAUUAUCGAAUACGGAUAUAGAUAUUUUCGGAUAAUAUCCUAUACGUUUUCAUUCCUAGCAUAUAUAAACAUAUCGAUAUUUAAUUACCUCAAAGCUACCACUUAAUACUCUUAUCUUAAAAAUUACCUUGAUAACUUAACACUUUAAAAAAUUUACAAAAAGCUAUUCUUAUUAUCUAUAAAAAAUUGUAAAUAUUCAAACCAACAAA